Molecule: non-coding RNA, 73 nt
Organism: Ovis aries (sheep)
Lineage: Eukaryota; Metazoa; Chordata; Mammalia; Artiodactyla; Bovidae
Source: Rfam
UCCCUGGUAGCUUAGCUAGUAAAGAAUCCCCCUGCAAUGCAGGAGACCCAGGUUCGAUUCCUGGGUCAGGGAG